AGCGAACGCUGGCGGCAGGCUUAACACAUGCAAGUCGAGCGGGCAUCCUUGUGGUGUCAGCGGCAGACGGGUGAGUAACGCGUGGGAACGUGCCCUUCGGUUCGGAAUAACUCAGGGAAACUUGAGCUAAUACCGGAUACGUGCGAGAGCAGAAAGGUUUAUCUGCCGAAGGAUCGGCCCGCGUAUGAUUAGCUAGUUGGUGAGGUUACGGCUCACCAAGGCGACGAUCAGUAGCUGGUCUGAGAGGAUGAUCAGCCACACUGGGACUGAGACACGGCCCAGACUCCUACGGGAGGCAGCAGUGGGGAAUAUUGGACGAUGGGGGCAACCCUGAUCCAGCCAUGUCGCGUGAGUGAUGACGGCCUUAGGGUUGUAAAGCUCUUUUCUCCGGGACGAUAAUGACGGUACCGGAGGAAUAAGCCCCGGCUAACUUCGUG
Molecule: ribosomal RNA, 437 nt
Filed under: uncultured bacterium
Lineage: Bacteria
Description: partial 16S ribosomal RNA
Rfam family: Bacterial small subunit ribosomal RNA
Source: RNAcentral